GAGGGUAUAGCUGAGUGGUAGAGCACGUACCUAGCACGCACAGGGUCCUGGGUUCAAUGCCCAGCACCUCCA
RNAcentral lists this transfer RNA (72 nucleotides) under Camelus bactrianus (Bactrian camel). It matches the Rfam family "tRNA". Rfam says of the family: Transfer RNA (tRNA) molecules are approximately 80 nucleotides in length. Their secondary structure includes four short double-helical elements and three loops (D, anti-codon, and T loops). RNAcentral also lists the same sequence under 2 other names. Lineage: Eukaryota; Metazoa; Chordata; Mammalia; Artiodactyla; Camelidae. The record is from Rfam by way of RNAcentral.